UGAUAAAGUCCUUGUGAAGAUGUCCCCACA
RNAcentral lists this non-coding RNA (30 nucleotides) under Rattus norvegicus (Norway rat). The record is from RNAcentral. Lineage: Eukaryota; Metazoa; Chordata; Mammalia; Rodentia; Muridae.